This 1094-nucleotide ribosomal RNA is filed under the name uncultured bacterium. Its description in RNAcentral is "bacterial SSU rRNA". It matches the Rfam family "Bacterial small subunit ribosomal RNA", at positions 8 to 1121 of the family's 1533-position model. The record is from RNAcentral.
AGAGUUUGAUCCUGGCUCAGAAUGAACUCUGGCGGCGUGCCAAACACAUGCAAGUCGAACGGAGAGUGUAGCAAUAUACUUUUAGUGGCGAACGGGUGAGUAACGCGUUGGUGACCUGCCCCGAAGCGAGGGAUAACAGUUCGAAAGAACUGCUAAUACCUCAUGUGAUCACCGGUUUUAGAAUCUGGUGAUUAAAGGUGAAAAUCACUUCGGGAGGGGCCUGCGUCCCAUCAGCUAGUUGGUAAGGUAAUGGCUUACCAAGGCGAUGACGGGUAGGGGACCUGAGAGGGUGGCCCCCCACAAUGGAACUGAAACACGGUCCAUACACCUACGGGUGGCAGCAGUAGGGAAUAUUGCAAAUGGGCGAAAGCCUGAUGUAGCAACGCCGCGUGUGCGAUGAAGGUCUUCGGAUUGUAAAGCACUUUUUGGAGGGAUGAGGAAGGACAGUACCUCCAGAAUAAGCCUCGGCUAACUACGUGCCAGCAGCCGCGGUAACACGUAGGAGGCAAGCGUUAUUCGGAUUUACUGGGCGUAAAGCGCGUGCAGGCGGUUUGGAAAGUUGGAUGUGAAAGCUCCUGGCUCAACUGGGAGAGGUCGUUCAAAACUUCCAGACUUGAGAGUGGUAGAGGGAGGUGGAAUUCCGGGUGUAGUGGUGAAAUGCGUAGAUAUCCGGAGGAACACCAGUGGCGAAAGCGGCCUCCUGGACCACUUCUGACGCUCAGACGCGAAAGCUAGGGUAGCAAACGGGAUUAGAGACCCCGGUAGUCUUAGCUGUAAACGAUGUGAACUUAGUGUCGGUGGGUUUAAAUCCAUCGGUACUGAAGCAAACGCGAUAAGUUCACCGCCUGGGGACUACGGCCGCAAGGUUAAAACUCAAAGGAGUUGACGGGGCCCCGCACAAGCAGCGGAGCAUGUGGUUUAAUUCGAAGCAACGCGAAGAACCUUACCUGGUCUUGACAUCCUCCUGACCGUCCCUUAAUCGGGAUUUUCCUUCGGGACAGGAGUGACAGGUGGUGCAUGGUUGUCGUCAGCUCGUGUCGUGAGGUGUUGGGUUAAGUCCCGCAACGAGCGCAACCCCUGCUCUUAGUUACCAG